ACAUUAAUGUCCCUUUGUGUGUGUGUGUGAGUGCUCUGUUCUUCAGAAAAAAAAGUUAAUUCCUAUAGGUAUAGUUUAUAAACUGUAUCUCAUUUUUUAAAAGUUGCCUGUCCUGACAUAAUUAGUGAAUUUAAAGCCUUCUGCAUAUAUUGUUGAUUUGUGGAUAUUUUAAAUGCUAAGUGAAAAAUUUAUCUGUUUAAAUCUUAGGCCAAAUUUUAAUUUUUAUCCCAAAUGGCUUUAUAAAAGCAACCUUUCUCAUGUUCCUG
RNAcentral lists this long non-coding RNA (266 nucleotides) under Homo sapiens (human). RNAcentral describes it as "HSALNT0057661". Lineage: Eukaryota; Metazoa; Chordata; Mammalia; Primates; Hominidae. The record is from RNAcentral.